AUCAGGUAGGAAUACCCGCUGAACUUAAGCAUAUCAAUAAGC
Molecule: ribosomal RNA, 42 nt
Filed under: Panax ginseng (ginseng)
Lineage: Eukaryota; Viridiplantae; Streptophyta; Magnoliopsida; Apiales; Araliaceae
Description: partial 28S ribosomal RNA
Source: RNAcentral